GUCUACAACAAUUUGACCCGAAAGGUUGAAGAGAUGGUAGAUGUGAAGUUUGAUGAAUCUAACGGUUCACAAGUAGAGCAAUUGCCAAUUGAUGUAGGAGACAAAUAUCCCUCGGAAGCAAUCCAAGACUUGUCUAUUGGCAAGAUUCGUCCAACGGAGGUGAAGGAGAGUACCUCGUCCGUCCAAGUGGAAGCUUCCACCUCACGACAAGGUGAACCAAGAGUUGAUACGGAAGCAUCCACAAGUGGGACACACCAGGACAAAGAAAACGAGGAAGUACAGCAAGAUGAACAUCAACAACCUCCUUCUCCACCAUGA
Molecule: ribosomal RNA, 318 nt
Filed under: Triticum aestivum (bread wheat)
Lineage: Eukaryota; Viridiplantae; Streptophyta; Magnoliopsida; Poales; Poaceae
Description: partial small subunit ribosomal RNA
Source: RNAcentral